This is a non-coding RNA of Cinara cedri, 434 nucleotides long. The record is from the annotation of a GenBank genome assembly. Lineage: Eukaryota; Metazoa; Arthropoda; Insecta; Hemiptera; Aphididae.
CUAUAUAAAGGCAUAUUCUUUAGAGAUUUUUUCUAAAUAUUUAAAAUUUUAUGAGGAAUAUAGUCAAAAUUUUAGUAUCGUUCGUUAUCGAAUUUCCACGGUUUUUUCAAUACUAAAUUGAAAAAAGUGAUACUUCUAAGCCGAAUUUCGGACAUCGGUCAAUUCCAAACGAAAGAGCAUACUUUUUUCUAUAUAAUGGCAUAUUCUUUAGAGAUUUUUUCUAAAUAGUUAAAAUUUUAUGAGGAUUAUAGACAAAAUUUUAGUAUCGUUCGUUAGAGAAUUUUCACGGUUUUUUCAAUACUAAAUUGAAAAAAAGUGAUACUUCUAAGCCGAAUUUCGAACAUCGGUCAAUUCCAAACGAAAGAGCAUACUUUUUCUAUAUAAUGGCAUAUUCUUUAGAGAUUUUUUCUAAAUAGUUAAAAUUUUAUGAGGAA